Molecule: ribosomal RNA, 278 nt
Filed under: uncultured bacterium
Lineage: Bacteria
Description: partial 16S ribosomal RNA
Rfam family: Bacterial small subunit ribosomal RNA
Source: RNAcentral
AGCGAACGCUGGCGGCAGGUCCUAACACAUGCAAGUCGAGCGCCCCAGGCAAUGGGAGCGGCAGACGGGAUAGUAACACGUGGGAACGUACCCUUUCAGUUCGGGAACAACCCAGGGAAACUUGGGCUAAUACCCGAAUACGUCCGUAAGGAGAAAGAUUUAUCGCUGAAAGAUCGGCCCGCGUCUGAUUAGCUAGGUUGGUGAGGUAAUGGCUCACCAAGGCGAACGAUCAGUAGCGGUCUGAGAGGAUGAUCAGCAUCACUGGGACUGAGACACGG